GGGAUAUUGCACAAUGGGGGAAACACUGAUGCAGCGACGCCGCGUGAGUGAAGAAGUAUUUCGGUAGGUAAAGCUCUAUCAGCAGGGAAGAUAAUGACGGUACCUGACUAAGAAGCCCCGGCUAACUACGUGCCAGCAGCCGCGGUAAUACGUAGGGGGCAAGCGUUAUCCGGAUUUAAUGGGUGUAAAGGGAGCGUAGGUGGGAGGGCAAGUCAGAUGUGAAACCCCGGGGCUCAACCCCGGGAGUGCAUUUGAAACUGUCCGGCUGGAGUGCAGGAGAGGUAAGCGGAAUUCCUAGUGUAGCGGUGAAAUGCAUAGAUAUUAGGAGGAACACCAGUGGCGAAGGCGGCUUACUGGACUGUAACUGACACUGAGGCUCGAAAGCGUGGGGAGCAAA
RNAcentral lists this ribosomal RNA (397 nucleotides) under uncultured bacterium. RNAcentral's name for it is "bacterial SSU rRNA". It matches the Rfam family "Bacterial small subunit ribosomal RNA", at positions 358 to 772 of the family's 1533-position model. The record is from RNAcentral.